RNAcentral lists this ribosomal RNA (494 nucleotides) under uncultured bacterium. Its description in RNAcentral is "partial 16S ribosomal RNA". It matches the Rfam family "Bacterial small subunit ribosomal RNA", at positions 28 to 507 of the family's 1533-position model. The record is from RNAcentral.
GGCGAACGCUGGCGGCGCGCUUAACACAUGCAAGUCGAACGGAAAGGCCUGCUUUCCCUUGUGGAUUGCGGGUACUCGAGUGGCGAACGGGUGAGUAACACGUGAGUGAUCUGCCCCCAACUUGGGUAUAAGCCUGGGAAACUGGGUCUAAUUCCCGAUAGGACUGCAGGGUGGUGCCUGUGGUGGAAAACGAUUUUCUAGUGGUUGGGGAUGAGCUCGCGGCCUAUCAGCUUGUUGGUGGGGUAAUGGCCUACCAAGGCGGCGACGGGUAGCCGGCCUGGGAGGGUGGACGGCCACAUUGGGACUGAGAUACGGCCCAGACUCCUACGGGAGGCAGCAGUGGGGAAUAGUGCACAAUGGGCGGAAGCCUGAUGCAGCGACGCCGCGUGGGGGAUGACGGCCUUCGGGUUGUAAACUCCUUUCGACCGCGAGGAAGCCACCUGGUUGGAAGGGUGGUGACGGUAGUGGUAGAAGAAGCACCGGCUAACUACGUG